Sinocyclocheilus anshuiensis is the source of this 636-nucleotide long non-coding RNA. RefSeq lists it as uncharacterized. The transcript has 3 exons. The record is from RefSeq and is a predicted model, not a curated record. Lineage: Eukaryota; Metazoa; Chordata; Actinopteri; Cypriniformes; Cyprinidae.
GUCACUGCAGCGGCCUAGUGAACGUGUGCUGUGCUGUGAUGCUGUGAUGACGUGCUCCCUUCUGGUCUGAAGGAGGGUGUUGACGGGUUAAAAUCACGUCGGAAGAGAGGACUGAAGGCAGAUGAACGUCAGAAAACUUUAUUAUUCAGCUGCCUUGUCAGCGCAGUCUACGUGCUGUGGCGGGGAGACCCCAGCGUGAGGUGACACGUUCCGGGCGCAUGCACUGAUAAACCCAGGACAACCGCCAGCUUUCCACACAAGCAUAAAAACCCAGAAUCACACACUCUGCACAGCCUGACUCAGAGCUCUGUGUGCAGCCAUGGCUGGAUGGGUGCUCUGUGAACCCAUCCCUUUCCUCACCCCAGAGCCUCUACCGCUGCCUAUAGCCAAGACAUCAAAGUAAUCAACCUCACCUGACCGGCCACACCUCUCAGCUGAACGGGACCAGCACCAUUUUAUUUUAGCCCUGAAAACAACAUUCUGUGCUUGAAUUAUAAUGGCCCUAAUUCAGAGAUCAAAGUUAAUUGCAGCAAAUUACAUGUCCUUUGAUUAGCAAGGCUCUGCCUAUUCUAGAGGUUAAAACUGAACAAAGUUAUUAAUUGAAAAGUUAAUUUCAAAGGCUAUACCAUAAAACAA